CGGCGGGUAGGGCUGGGGGGCUAGCCCUCCCCUAAAACCUGAAACGGGCUUAAGCAGGGGCCAGAAACCGGGUGGAAGAGGUGCCUGGUCCCCUGCGCGGCCUAGAUAAGAUGGUAUGAGGCCGCGUCCCACCGGAGAACGGUAGGGUGUGGCGCCGCGCGUAGGUGUGGCCUCCCACACCCUCAUGCACCGAACCGCGUCAGGCCCGGGAGGGAGCAGCGCUAAGGUGCAGCCGAGCUGCUGGUGGGGGUGCGUGGCUGACCAUCUCAUCUAGACACGGCGGGGGUACCAGCCCUCGACCACCUCGGAGCCGCCG
Molecule: signal recognition particle RNA, 316 nt
Filed under: Nitrososphaerota archaeon
Lineage: Archaea; Thermoproteati; Nitrososphaerota
Also listed under: 1 other name
Description: signal recognition particle sRNA
Rfam family: Archaeal signal recognition particle RNA
Source: RNAcentral